UCUAUAAUAGCAAUGCAGUUAUAAAAGAGAAAUUGUUGUCUCUUUUAUUUUUAUCAAUUCGAUAUGAUUCACACUAGAAUAGCGAAGCAGUUUGGAGUCACAUCGUCACAGAAGGCCUAUCCAAGGAGACAAUCAGUUGCUAUUCGUGUGAUUCAAGAAAAUCCGCGGAUUGUGCAGAGCUUGAACACAGGAAGCUGAAACAAUUUGUGAAAGUAUGCAAGGAAAAUGCUGUAGUUUCAACUAUUUCGAAAAAGAUCGAUGAGUUCAUUCCUAGAAGUUUCAAACCUAAUACGUUGUUGAACCUAGACAAGGUUUGCGUGAAAGCUGAAUUGUCAGAUGAGGGAAGCAAAAAGAAAGUAGUCAUAAGGGAUUGUAUGAAGAAGAGUGACGAAUGCUAUGACCUGAUAAAAGAAAAGAUUCCGUCAAUCGCAAAGAAUAUACAGGACUUUUCCUGUAAACCAUGCGAUGUCGACCUGUGCAACAACUCAAGCAUCACUUCACCAGCCGCCUUCAUCUUGCUUGUCGUCUCAUUCUUUACUUGCUUCUUACUUCUCAACUAGCAACAAUAAUACAAUACACUAUGUUGAGUUUUCCCAAACUUAGCAAUAUUAGAAAACUGUGUAUCCUAUAUAAAUCCUUGCAGGUACAGACUUGAAAAUGGUAUUAAUAGGUUAAUAGAGAAAAUAUCAGUCGUCAUUGAAAAUUAAGAUGUCGGCUACAUGUGUUAGUUUGCUUGAGUGAUCAUAGUCAUAAUGGUGUAUAUAACAGUGGUUCUAUUUGGUCUAUAAGUACUCCCUUCGCUCGCUGCACUUGUAUAUUAAGCUACAUUUAACUUAUGCUUUAAAAACUCUCAUAAUUGAACUGGUGUAUACAUUUUACAGGAUCGCUAGUAUUUUCAUUACCUUAUAAAUUUAUCUUGAACGUUUUCAAUGUUUUGAAGUUGUCAUUAUUUUUCUAAUAACAAUAGAUCUGAGUUGGCAUAGCAAAUGACAUGAGUUUUGUUUCUUACUACAUGAGCAACCAAAAAUAGCUAAUAAGAGGAGCUCACAAAUAU
Molecule: unclassified non-coding RNA, 1054 nt
Filed under: Nilaparvata lugens (brown planthopper)
Lineage: Eukaryota; Metazoa; Arthropoda; Insecta; Hemiptera; Delphacidae
Description: uncharacterized LOC111064136, transcript variant X2
Source: RNAcentral